Long non-coding RNA from Lutzomyia longipalpis, 4565 nucleotides. RefSeq lists it as uncharacterized. The record is from RefSeq and is a predicted model, not a curated record. The transcript has 2 exons. Lineage: Eukaryota; Metazoa; Arthropoda; Insecta; Diptera; Psychodidae.
GCGAGAGAGCAUCAAUAAAAGAAUAUAAGUACAACACUUUUUUGUACGCUCUAACGAUUCCACUUUGUUUCGCAUAAAUGUGUCGAUUUUUUUACGUUUGUAGAUGGGGGUUGGUGGUGGGAGGAAAAAAGCGUGCAGGGUGCGCCAAUUGGGGUGCGGAAAAGAAGCAUCAAAAAUGGCCUGAAUGGAUGUUAUUGAUGGGGGUGGGUUUCAAUGGCGAGCACCCGAAUAGCAGUAUAUUUACAUAUAUAGUGACAAAUAUUUCGUACGCAUUUUCAUCAUUUAUUCCGGAAUACUUAACCCAGUCAGCAAUUGAUCACAUUCGCCCCGAGUGCGCCGAAGCUUUUCGCAACAGAGUGGGGUGGGCGGCUGCCACACUCUCUCUCUCUCUCUCUCAUUUUCUCUUGCGCGUGAGAGAGGAAAAUCACUGUGUGGAGUUUCCUAUCAGCCUCAGAGGAAAUUCUCACAGCUUUCGUGGUCCAGUGUUUGGUCUCUCUUCGUAGUGACAACACACUGAUGAAAGCUUAGAAGAGGCGCCACGCCAGAAGUUGAACGCGAGAGCUUUUUCGCAACCGGCUUAGAAAGUUUUCUUUCGUGCUAAAAGCCAAAAGUUUCUACUUUUCUGGGUAUUUGUUGGUGGUGCACCACUAAAAGGAGAGUUUCAUGUUGGAACCAAAAGAGAUUUUGGAGGCAGCAUUGCUGGUGCUUUUAUGCUAAAAUAAAUCAAAGUGUUUAGAGGAAUAUUUUCCGAUCUAACAGCUCUCGAAAGAGUAUGGCUGGGAAGUGAGUGACAAAAUUAAUUUGGUGGCAAAACAGUGAGCACUAAUAGUGGUGAUUGAAUGUGAUUAAAUUGAAAACUAGUAAAUUCAUCACCGAAAAGGGAGCUUUAAAGUGACACCAAUUGAUGUAAUGUGGAACAUUUUCAAAUACCGGGAAAAGGUGCCGAGUGAGCUUUAAAAAAAAAGCUCAAACUGUUUGUGUGGUGAAAGCACACGCGGAGAGUUCUCUGGUUUGCCAAGUAAAUUUAAUUAAAAUAUUCAUUUAGGCUGGUAUUGAGUAGGGAAAAAAAAACACCAACGACUCACGCACAAAAGGCAAACAGAGCUCCGAAAAACGCGAAUGAAAAAGCUCCAAUGCGGAAGAAUUUUCAUGCCAUGUUUUUCAUUUAAUUUUUUAUUGCAUCGAAUUGUCGUUUUUUUUCUGCACACAGCGCAAAUCGAAAUCCAUUUUAGGAGUUGUGUGUGGAGAAAAUCAUCCCUUUAAGCGAAAAAAGGGGGUCGGGUGGGAUUGCACAUGAGACUCCAAAAUGAUGUUGGAGAUAGUUUAGAAAAGUUCCGAGAAUCUAAUUUGCUGCUGCUGGGAGUCUUUUGCGGAAGAAUUUAUAGUUUCCAAUUUGUGGAGAUGAAUUGCAUUCAAGUGCAACUUUCAGUUUGAUCUCUCUAUAUAUACUUGCUUUCAUGGGGGGUGGCUUAAAGGGUGGAUCUUGUGGGAAUGAUUGAUUUUUUUUUAUUUUUGGAUAUCAAUAAUCAAAAUCUUCUGAAAGUCAUGUUUUCUUCUUCUGAAAAUGGAAAUUUUAAAGAUUUUUCAUUUCAAUGAAAAAUAAGAAAAUAUUGAGUUAAUAUAUUUUCUUAAGAAUGUUCUUUUUUUUACAAUUUUCACUCUCUUUAGAGCUUUUAAUAUAUAUUUUUUCUCCAUUAUAUUUUAAAGCUUUUCUAAAUUCUUUAUAUGAUUCACACCUCACUCCAGUCUUCCCUAAAAUAAAGAUUGUAAUGAAAUGAUUGUCCAUGAUAAAGCUGGAAAUUUUUUUACUGAAAAUUUCUCAGAUUUUCUUAACAAAAAAAAAACUUUCUCAACAAAAAUUCCAACAAAAUCCGAUUACAUAGCAAUUAUACUCUUCACGUGCUUUCUAAGCUCACAAAAGCUCUUGCGAAAAAUGUAGAUGUGGAGUAAAUUAAUUAGUGCCUCGUUGUAUACUUUAGUAAUAAAAAAAAUCCUAGGUUUUCUCACAGAGAUUUCAUAAUAAAACACCCUCUCAAAUCAAUACUCAAUAUUUAACGAUCAAACUCACCCCCAUCUGAGAACUCUUGAGUGCGCCCAUAAAAAAGAAAAGCAAAAAGAAGCUUAUCAAAUGGAAAAAUUGUAGAAAUGUUAAACAAGGAAAUGCUUGAGCUGCUAACAGCCAGAGUGGUGCGUCAGGGGGAGUUUCGGGAGGAAAAGUCUCUCUCUCAUUUUGCCAUUGAUUCAAUUCGUUGCUUUGAAAAGUUUAAUGACGUUCCUCAUGCUGUGUUUUCUCGUUUUUUGGAGCACACACAAAGUACGGGGAAUUUGUCUUUUCUCCACAAGACGAAGAUAUGGUUUGCGAAAGCUACCUAAUUAAAGUGUAUUCAAGCAAGUUGUUGGAAACAUUGGGAGAUCCUUUUCUCUUAUUAUUUUCACGAUGAAGGGAAGAAAAUGAGUGUGUGUGUGGUUGCUUUUCCAACGUUAACAGACCCUCCCCCAACCCCCUCAUGGCAAUGCCGCAGACGCAAAAAUACCGUAGCAGGAGUUUUGUUGGUCGUUUUGAAUUUCUUCUUGUGAGAAAACUCUGCCUCACGAAGACUGCGCCUACAUCCUCCACAAAUUUAAUAUCUCUUUGAGUUAAAUUUUGGUUGAAUAAACUCCAAUCUCCGUGCUCUUUUGUUGAUUAUUUUCCACUUUUCCCAACGGCAAUAAAUUGCUAUUGUUUUACUUCCCAAAGUGUUUUCUUACCCUCUCCCCAUCCCACUCCCUCGCAGGAGGAACUUGCACAUAGAGGCCAAAGAAAAGUCCAUCAGUUUGAUUGUGAUUUAUGCUUCCUUCCAGUGUGAAUCAUGAAAGUCCAUAAAUACAUUAUUUUCCCGUGUCUUCACCCCCAUACCGCCCAUCGCAAAUCUCCAUCCGUGGAAAGUAGGAUAAAGUUGCAGAAAAUAGUCAUGGGGGUGGCCAGCAUCUCCAUGGUUCAGCAUAAAUAUUUACAUGGUGGAAAAAAAUGCCCGCGUUUCUUGUAUUUCGUGGUAUAUUUAUGCCAUUUUUAGCGGAACCCCCCAACCUCUAAUAUAUAUUCCCCCCAUUUGAGCUUUUUUUGUCCCCACUCGAUGUGCUGUUUUUUCGUGGGGGAGACUCAUAAAAACCUGGCAAAUAAAUUAUUUAUGAGAUCAAUUUGUUGGAAUUUCUACUCUCACCACCUUGAUUUUCUUCUUCCACUCACUCCCCGAUAGCUGAAGAUUCCUCGAGAAGAACCCCAACCUUGUGUAGCUGUCGAGGAUGUUUUCUGUCACACCCCCACUCUGGUUAUAGAUUAUAUUCAAUGUAGCCCACAUAAGUUGCAAAAGAUUGGGAAUUUGAGGUCAUGAAACAUCAAUCUAUUCAAAAUUAUUACCCCGCCAUGGAUCCUUCUUCCAGGAUCUUUUUUUUCUGUAUUGUAGAUAGGGUAGAGGAGACAUACAACCCCCUAGUGGAGGAUGAGGGAUUUGGCUAACACAUAAUAUGAAGAAAAAAGAAGAAGAAGGGACGACAAAGCUAUUUGUCGUGGAAUAAACAUGAAAAAUUUUCUGAUUCAUGGAAUUGAAUUUUAUGCGGAGAAUGAAUCUUAUUGACAUAAAUUUUAUCUCGAGACAUUUCAUGAGACCCCUCUUGAAUGAUUUAAGGGGUUGAUGGUUAUGUAGUAGUGGUUCAAUCGGAUUUUCAUGCUGUUAAAUUGGGUUUUGUUAUGUAUAGAGCUUUAAAUUAUUUAUUCAAAUAUUUCUCGUGAAGAAAAAUGAGCUUUAAAAUUAUGUAAAAAACCCAUCAGAAUUUGAAGAUUGAUAAAAAUUUGAAGCUCUGGAAAAAUUAAAUUGUAGUCUUUAAAGCGAAAUAAAAAAAAUUAACAUUUUCACCUUUAAGCCAAUUUUUUAUACGAAAAAUUAUCAAAUAAGAAAGUCUCGUAAAACAAGCAAUGAUUAGCCCUGUAAUUAAACUUUCAGCGAGUUUCAAAACAUUCAAAAAUGUAACAUUUAACCACCAUUUUCCUCAAUAAAAUUCAAAACUCUCAAGAUUUCAAGAUGCUUUUGGCCAAUUGCCUAAAAUUGAGAUCCCUCCCAGUGGAAAAUUUACAUCCUUUUGUGAGUGGGAAAUUCGCAUUCUCCCCUUUUUUCGCGGAAAAACUUCCUUUUCCCAAAGCACGGCCAAAACAACAAAAUUUAUCUUGACAUUUUAAUUAUUCAUCGGAGUCUCUCAAUAAAAUUUACACCACAAACAUUGCCGCAUUCAAAUGAAGGUAUAUUAUGAAAAGUUUUCGUGAUUCCCUAUUGAGAAACAAAUUAAACAAACCCCCUCAUUUUCGUGGGGAACUUUUCAUCGUGACGACUUCAUAAAAUUAAAUAUUUGCCAAUAAAAUGAGUAUAUAAAUUUAAUCACAUUCCACGGGCUCACUGUUUGUUUUUGCGUGAAAAAUCAAGCGAUAAAAUGGGGAAUUUAUUGCCCUAUCAAUAAUAAAAUCAUCACUCAGUGCUUGAGGGGGGAUUUCUUCCUGGGAUCGUAAAUAAAUUAUUAUCCAAAUGCCAAAAAAA